UUUUUUUGGCAGGGGGCUGCCCCUGUGGCAUAUGGAAGUUUCCAGGCUAGGGGUUGAAUCAGAGCUGGAGCUGCCGGCCUAUCCCACAGCUGCAGCAACUCGAGAUCCGAGCCACAUCUGCAACCUACACCACAGCUCACAGGGAUGCUGGAUCCUCAACCAACUGAGUGAGGGCAGCAAAUGAACCCGUACUCUCAUGGAUCCUAGUCGGGUUCAUUACUGCUGAGCCAAGAUGGGAAUUCCCUACGUAUAUCUUUUUGAAUUAGUGUUUUCAUUUCAUUUGGAUAAAUACCCCAAAGUGGAAUUGUUGGAUCAUAUGGUAGUUCUAUUUUUAAUUUUGGGGGGAGCCUCCAUACUGUUUUCCAUAGUGGCUGCACCAAUUUCCAUUCCCACCAACAGUAAGAAGCAUUCCCUUUUCUCCACACCCUCCCCAAGACUCUUUAUCUCUCCUCUUCUUGAUAAUAGCCACAUUCUAACAGGUGUGAGGUGGCUUCUCACUGUGGUUUGAUUUGCAUUUCCCUGAUGGUUGGUGAUGUUGAGCACAUUUUCAUGUACCUAUUGGCCCUCUGAAUAUUUUCUUUGGAAAAAUGUUUAUUCAGAUCCUCUGUCCAUUUUUUAAUUGGAUUGUUUGGUUUUUUUGCUAUUGAGUUGUAUGAGUUCUUUAUACAUUUUGGAGAUGCACCCUGCAUCAGAUAUACGACGUGCCAAUAUCGCCGUCGUUUCUCAUUUGGGCCUUGGAUUAUGCACUUGAAGGAAAAGGAAGCAAGCACAGCGUCCAUGCUCUUCAGAUGGUCUCUUCUCUUCAUCCCCCCUGGGUUUGCCCACAGUCCCAGGGCACACCCCGAAAACGUAACCAAACAGUGGUUCUCAAAUCCAUUGUCUAUACGGUCACCUGAAGAGCCUGGUAAAAAUGGUGAUCCAAAGACCCCACUCAGGAACUGGACUAAAGCAGCUCCUGGAAGUGAGGCCCAAGAGUGUGCAUUUUUUUUUUUUUUUUGUCUUUUUGUCUUUUUGCCAUUUAUUGGGCCGCUCCCGUGGCAUAUGGAGAUUCCCAGACACGCAAGGCUGAUUUAAUAUUUGAAAAUAAAUCAGUGAGAUCUACUAUACUAACAAGCUAAAGAAGAAAAAUCCCAUAUUCAUAUAAAUUGAUGCAGAAAAGAGCAUUUGACAAAAUUCAAUGCCCAUUUGUGAUUUAAAAACACUCAGAAAAAGUGGAAAUGGAGGAACAUUUUCUUAAAAAGAAUAUCUACCAAAAACCACAAAACUCUACUUAAUCUUGAAAGACUGAAUGCUUUCCCAUAAUGUUGGGAACAAGACAAAGACCUCUACUCCUUUUGUUUAUUUGUUUUUUGAGCCAAGCCCUCAACAUGCGGAAGUUCCUGGAUCCAGGAUUGAAUUUUCACCACAGCAGUAACCACAGCCACAGCAGUGGCAACACUAGAUCCUUAACCCACUGAGCCAGGCCGAGGAUUGAAUCCUCACCACCAAAGGCAAUGUCGUAUCCUUAACCCACUGCACCGUAGUAGGAACCCCCAAAGACAUCUACUCUUAACCACUCUUACAAGAGUGCUCAAAGUUCCAGCCAGUGAAGUAAGGCAAGAAAAGGAAAUAAAAGGCAUUCAGACCAGAAAGGAAGAUGUGUUUGCAGUUGACAUGACUGUCCAUGUAGAAAACUGCCAGGAAAUCUACAAAAAUAUUCUCAAACUAAUAAGGGGGUUUAGCAAAGACACAGGUGACAAAAUAAAUAUACAAAAAUCAACUGGAUAUCUAUACACUAGCAAUGAACGCACAGACAUCAAAAUUUUGAAAACAAUACCAUUUACAGUUGUUCACAAAAAGAUGGAAUACUUAGGUGUAAAUCUAACAAAACAUGUAUAGGACUUAUAUGCUGAAAACUGCAAAAUAUUUAUGAAAGAAAUCACAGAGGAUCUAAAUAUAUGAAGAGAACUUCCAUGGUCAUGGAUUGGCAAACUCUGUACAGUAAAGGUGUCAAUUCUCCCCAGUUUGAUAGACAGGUUUAACCCAAUUCCUCUCAAACUCCUAGCGAGACUUUUGUAGAUACAGAUAAGAUUAUUCUAAACUUUAUGUGGGCAGAGUUCCCGUCAUGGCUCAGCAGAAACGAAUCUGACUAGCAUCCAUGAGGACGAAGGUUCGAUCCCUGGUCUUGCUCAGUAGGUUAAGGAUCUGGCAUUGCUGAGGCUGUAGUGUAGGCCAGCGACUACAGCUCCAAUUCGACCCCUCACCUGGGAACCUCCAUAUGCUACAGGUGCAGUCCUAAAAAGACAAAAAAAAAAAAGCUUUAUAUGGGAAGGCAAAGGAACUAGAAUAGCUAAAACAAUUUUGAAAGAGAAGAAUAGAGUGGGAGGAAUCAGUCUACUCAAAUUCAAGACCUAUGAAGCCAAACUAAUCACAAGUGUGUAAUGCUGGUGGAGAGCAGACACGCAGAUCAAUGGAACAGAACAAAGAACCCCCAAAUCGAUCCACACAAAUAUGCUAAACUGGUUUUUGGCAGGUGCAAAAGAAAUUCAAAGGCAGAAAGACAGCCUUUUCAAUGCAUAGUGCUAGUACAACUGGAUACCCAUAGGCAAACAAACAAAAA
Molecule: long non-coding RNA, 2599 nt
Filed under: Sus scrofa (pig)
Lineage: Eukaryota; Metazoa; Chordata; Mammalia; Artiodactyla; Suidae
Description: lncRNA (ENSSSCG00025050374.1)
Source: RNAcentral